Molecule: long non-coding RNA, 2808 nt
Organism: Heterocephalus glaber (naked mole-rat)
Lineage: Eukaryota; Metazoa; Chordata; Mammalia; Rodentia; Bathyergidae
Source: RefSeq, a predicted model, not a curated record
CUUGGUUCCCAGGGUUUGGCCAUCUUCUAAAGAAUUUGACCCUACUGAAGAACUAUCUUGACUAUCUUGAUAAGGCAGGUGAAGAAAUCCUUCGCUGGAGUCUGAGCGGGAUAAUCCUGAAAGUAGCUGUGAUUAUUUCUACUUUAGAGAGGAAGCUAAUGAUUGGAGAAAUAAAAUGACUUGUCCACAGUCAUACAGACAGUAAAAUAUUUACUGCUAUCAAGUAUUAGUUGAACACAUUCAGCUAAUAAGCAAUAAGAAUUGAUUGCCAAUUACUGAAAAUUGAUGAAGAUCUGCAACAUUAUCACAGCCUUUCCAAGACUUGUAAUCCAGACACCUAGAAAACAACUUAGCCAAGAGAAAAGGAAGAAAAGCUCUGAGGAUCAAGAAAGAGGCGUCAGAAAAACUACAAAUUACAGAGAAACUGAAGGAACUCAAGACAACAAAGAGAAAAGAAGAAAGAAAUUUGGAAUGCUAACCCUCCCUCCAGGAAAAGGGGACUUAUUCCCAAAACACAAGAUACAAUAAGCCCCAGGGAGAAAAAAUGGACCAGCAGCUCUAGCUCCAUAAGCUGGUUCCUGAAACUGCAAAUAAAGUGUAGGAUUUAUUCUGAUAAUGACUUUUUCCAAAUGGCAGGGUAGAGUUGUGGAAGAAUUCCAUUGCAAUGCCCACUGUAUUGGGGAGCAAUUAAUUAGGAGCCAUUAUGGGAAGGGGUUCACUGUUGGCACACACAACUUCAUAAAACAAAAACUACCGGAAAAAAAGGUCAGACAAACACCAAUGCCAUCAUAGCAGGGGACUUCAACACCCCACUCUCACAAUUAGGUCAACCAGACAAAAACUUAAAGAAAUAUAAGUAUUCAACAACAUCACUGAAUAAAUGGACAUACCUAUAUAAUGUUUCAUCCAACAACAGAAUACUCCAGUUUUCUCAGCAGCACAUAGAACUUUUUACAAAAUAGACAAUAUAUUAGGCCAUAAAGCACAACUAAAUACAAAAGAAUUGAAACAACCCCCUGUAGACCAUCAGAGUAUAGUACAGUGAAACUAGAAAUCAGCCAGAGAAACUACAGAAAUUACAUAAACACAUGGAGAUUAAAGAAUACAUUACUGAAUAAUCAAUGAAUUAAUCGGGGAAGGAAUAUAAAAGUUCCUAGCAUCAAAUGGAAAACAGAAGAACAAGAUACCAAAACCUAUAGGACACAAAGAGGUUGUAAGAGGGAUUUUUAUAGCUGUGAAUGCACACAUUAAAUAGUUGUGUAAUCCUAAAUAAAUAACCUAACGAUGCAUCUCAAGGUCUUAGAAAAACAAGAGAAAUCCAAAUCUAAAAUUAACAGAAGAAAACGUAAAAAGAUCAGAACAGAAAUUAAUGAACUUGAGAUUUAAAAAGUAAUACAAGGAAUCAAUGAAUCAGAGUUGGUUCUUUGAAAGGAUAAACAAGAUUGAUAAACUCCUUGCCAAAUUUAUAAAAAAAGAAAAACCCAUGUCAAUACAAUUAGAAAUUAAAAAUUAAAAAAAUUAAAAAUUAGAAAAAACCCUGUAACUGAAAGUGCCCAAAUCCAGAUUAUAAGAAACUACUUUGAAAACAUACUCCAAUAAAGAGCAGAACCUAUAAGAAUGAAGAAAUUCCUAGACACAUACGAAUUACCAAAACUGAACCAAGGAGACAUAAAAACUCUGAAUAUAACAAAAACAGGUAAUGAACUUGAGGCAGUACUGAAAGUUCUACCAACAUAGAAAAGUCUAGGACCCAAUGGCAUCAUCACAGAAUUCUACUAGAAUUUCAGGAAAAAAUUAACAACAAUAUUUCUCAAACUCUUCAGUGAAUUCUAAAGAGAAGAGGGGUACUGCCAAACUCAUUCCUGGCAGCUAGCAUUACCUUGAUACCAACACUGGACAAGGACUUUAUCAUAAAAGCAAAUCUACGGGCCAGUCUUCUUAAUGUAGAUAGACUCAAAAAUUCUCAACACAAUACUGGCAAACAGAAUGCUACAAAUGAUUAAAAAGAUCAUAACAUGACCAAGUUGGGUUUAUCUCAGACAUGGAAGCAUGGCUCAACACUUAUAAAUCAAUAAAUGUAAUACAUCACAUCAAUAAAAGCAAGAUAAUAAUCACAUGAUCAGCUCAAUAGAAACAAAAGAGCCUUUGGCAAAAUACAUCCAUUCAAGAUAAAAAUCCUGAAGAAAAUAGGUAUACGAUGACCUUAUCUCAAUCUGAUAAAAGCCAUAUAUAUGACAAACCCGCUGCCAACAUCACAGUUAAUGGAGAAAAAAAUUGAAAGCUUGUCUCUAAAAUCAGGAAGAAGACAAAAGUGUCCAUUCUCACCACUCCUGUUCAAUAUAACACUUGAAACUGUACAUGGAACAAUCAGACAAGAGAAAAAAUAAAAAACAAAAGGAAUACAUAUAGGAAAGGAAAAAAAAAUCUAUCCUUAUUCCUAGAUGGCAUGAUCCUUUACAUAUGACCAAAAAAACUCAUCCAAAAAAAUUCCUAGAAUUAAUAAAUUCAGCAAUGUAGCAGGAUAUAAAAUCAACACAAGAAUCAGUAGUGUUUCUGUACACCAAUAAUGAACCCACUGAAAAGAAAUAAGGAAAGUAAUCUCAUCCACAGUAGCAUCAAAAAAUUAAAUAUGUGGGCCAGGGAUUUAGCUCAGUGGUGCCUCCACCUGCCUCACAAGUGGAAGGUCCCAAAUUCAAUCUCUGGUUCAAUAUAUAUAUAUAUAUAUAUAUAUAAUUAACCUAACCAAGGAAGUGAAAGACUUUUAUAACAAAACUAAAGUUUCAUAUCCUGGAACAAAAAAAAGAGACA